Molecule: long non-coding RNA, 667 nt
Filed under: Dasypus novemcinctus (nine-banded armadillo)
Lineage: Eukaryota; Metazoa; Chordata; Mammalia; Cingulata; Dasypodidae
Description: lncRNA (ENSDNOG00000051801.1)
Source: RNAcentral
CCUUCAGGGAUGAAGACAGGCAAUCUCAAUGGGAGAAAUGCUGUGGGGUCCCCUAUUUUGUGGGGGUACAGGGGCUCCAGGGUCUGAACUGAUUGGCAUAUUUGAGACUAAGCAAAGGAACUCUUUCAGGUGAUUUGAUUUGCUUAGGGAUCUGGGUUUGCUCUCUGGUGGUGAUUGGCUUCUGGCUGCUGUCCUCGAGCUCUGCGGAGCAUGCUGGCCUGCGGUGAAUGACCUCUGGUCACUGUCCACAAAGUGUGAGGUCCCUAUUCUGUCCUGCCUCAGAAUGUUUUCCUGCCUGGCCAAGAGUGGCUCAGCUGUGGCACUGCAAGCCAACAAGUGGGAGUUUAGGGGAUGGAGGAUUGUAAUCAGGGCAAGAAGUUUUCGUCAGCCAUCACCUGCAUAGAGUGAGCAGAACAAAAGAUCUCUCAACAAAUACCCGUGUGAAGAAAUGCAAAGGACAAGAACCGGACAAGAUGAACUCCUAAACCCAGGCCAGCCUGAACAGAUGGUGAAAAUAGAUCAGACUCCACCACCAUCUGCGCUGCUCUGACACUGUAAGCCCACCCCACCCCUGCCCAGGAUCCGAAGGGGCAGAAAGAGAGGAAGGGAGAAAUUGUAAGUUCAACCUGAAAUUGGUUAAUAUUAAGUUUCUCCAUUCAGUGGGAUG